UGUGUGUGUGUAUGUAGGAGACGUUUCAGGUGAGUUCGUUGGCCGUGGGUUCAGUUCUACAACUGGUGGACCAAGUGAUGUCCUGUAAACUAAGAAAUGGAUUUGCUGUCAUCAGACCUCCAGGACAUCACGCUCAGUCCAAUUUGGCGAAUGGAUACUCUAUCUUCAACAACAUUGCCAUUGCUGCUCGAUAUGCUCAGAACACACACGGAGUCAAGAGAGUGUUGAUAAUGGAUUGGGACAUUCACCAUGGUCAAGGAAUCCAGUACCAAUUUGAGGAAGACCCAAGGUACUAACAACAAAACACAGUUAUAAUCAUAUAUGUAAUUACAUUGUAUUUAGGCAAACCAGCCACUAGGGU
Cynoglossus semilaevis (tongue sole) is the source of this 361-nucleotide long non-coding RNA. RefSeq lists it as uncharacterized. The transcript is spliced from 3 exons. The record is from RefSeq and is a predicted model, not a curated record. Lineage: Eukaryota; Metazoa; Chordata; Actinopteri; Pleuronectiformes; Cynoglossidae.